Molecule: ribosomal RNA, 486 nt
Filed under: uncultured bacterium
Lineage: Bacteria
Description: bacterial SSU rRNA
Rfam family: Bacterial small subunit ribosomal RNA
Source: RNAcentral
AUUGAACGCUGGCGGCAUGACCUUACACAUGCAAGUCGAACGGCAGCACGGGAGCAAUCCUGGUGGCGAGUGGCGAACGGGUGAGUAAUAUAUCGGAACGUGCCCAGUCGUGGGGGAUAACGUAGCGAAAGCUACGCUAAUACCGCAUACGAUCUACGGAUGAAANCGGGGGGAUCGCAAGACCUCGCGCGAUUGGAGCGGCCGAUAUCAGAUUAGGUAGUUGGUGAGGUAAAGGCUCACCAAGCCGACGAUCUGUAGCUGGUCUGAGAGGACGACCAGCCACACUGGGACUGAGACACGGCCCAGACUCCUACGGGAGGCAGCAGUGGGGAAUUUUGGACAAUGGGCGCAAGCCUGAUCCAGCAAUGCCGCGUGCAGGAUGAAGGCCUUCGGGUUGUAAACUGCUUUUGUACGGAACGAAACGGUGAGCUCUAAUACAGUUUGCUAAUGACGGUACCGUAAGAAUAAGCACCGGCUAACUACGUG